This 468-nucleotide ribosomal RNA is filed under the name uncultured bacterium. Its description in RNAcentral is "partial 16S ribosomal RNA". It matches the Rfam family "Bacterial small subunit ribosomal RNA", at positions 28 to 507 of the family's 1533-position model. The record is from RNAcentral.
GACGAACGCUGGCGGCGUGCUUAACACAUGCAAGUCGAACGGAAAGGCCCUGCUUUUGUGGGGUGCUCGAGUGGCGAACGGGUGAGUAACACGUGAGUAACCUGCCCUUGACUGUGGGAUAACUUCAGGAAACUGGGGCGAAUAUCCGAUAGGAGCUCCUGCUGCAUGGUGGGGGUUGGUAAGUUUCGGCUGUUGGGGAUGGACUCGCGGGUUAUCAGCUUGUUUGUGGGGUAGUUGCUUACCAAGGCUUUGACGGGUAGCCGGCCUGAGAGGGUGACCGGCCACAUUGGGCCUGAGAGACGGAGCAGACUCCUACGGGCGGCAGCAGUGGGGAAUAUUGCACAAUGGGCGGAAGUCUGAUGCAGAAACCCCGCGUGCGGGAUGACGGCCUUCGGGUUGUAAACCGCUUUCGACUGUGACGAAGAGUGAGUGACGGUAAUGGGUAAAGAAGCACCGGCUAACUACGUG